GCUUUCGAGAAACGGGCCCCUGGACGUUAAAACGUAAUUGUGUGCUGAAUUUGGUUCCAUUGCCAUUUAUGCCUUCAGAAACAUAACUAAUCAAUUAUUUUUACCAGUGAAAGCCUUUGACCCAGACCUUAAACUACUUGAGUUGAAAAUACAUGGGAAACGCAUGACGGAAAGUAAGAGAAAAUCUACGGAGAAAAAGAGCGGGGAACGCAGCGAGAACUGGCGGGGACGAACGAGGAAGAAGGGGAAAGGGGCGAGACAACAGACCAGGAGACGCACGAGCAAACGUACGGCGAAAAAGUUGAAAAUGUCUAAAGAAAGGGGAACUUGGUAACCGUAUGGUAGAAUCAACAGGAAAAUUUUUAUACGGAAUUCGAGAUUUUUCCUAUCAAAAACACUUCGCACAAGUUUGGGGGGCCAGUGUGAAUGGUCCCCUCAGUGUGGAGCUUCUGAAGGAGCCGCGAGGGUAAAGGAGAAAUAUCCCACAAUUCCUAUCGAUCGUUUAACUUGAGAAUUUUUGUGUGUGCGAAGUUCACAUUAAGUUGGCAGCAAAAGUUUGUCUGUUUACGAGAAUCACGUGAUCGAAAGGAAUUCUACCAAUCCUACAGAUUCGAAGAUUGGGUGUUUAAGUUGGCUUGUGCGAGUGGAUUUUCGACCUCCUUCAUGUUGGCCGUUUCGCUUUUGUGUACCAUUUAUGGGUUGUAAGAUACUUCAUUUUUUUUUAUUUUCCCAGCUUUCAGUUAUCAAGGUAGGUUUCUCUAAAGGUCUUUUACAACUGAACAUAUUUCUCGUCAAAAAAAGGCGCAACACUGUGACAACGGUACAGAGUGACGAAAUAGCGGCGCUAACGGACUCACGUGAGCAGACUACCUAUUGUCUAAACACGCUAGCAGCGUUGCAGGCGUAAACGGGGAAGGGGUAGGGAUCGGGAGGCAAAAAAAGCAAAACGCGAGAAAGAAAGAGAACAGCACCCUGUCCCGAUAAAGACGCCCGUUUCCAAUAAGCAUCGCAGUUUAAUUUCCUCAAUCCGUAAAAUUCAAACAAGCAAAAAGGACGCUACGCACGCACAAGUACGCAGUGCUGACCUAUUUUUUUCCACGUGCUGGCGUCGAACGAAAGAGAAAGACCGUGAGACUAUGUUUUUCAACUUCUUGGUCACAGAAAAAGAACGGAAAUUAGGAAUGUAUCGGAAAGCCGAGGCCGAAGCCGCCAUAUUGUUUAUAAGCUUACAUUAAGCUUAAGGAUUGCCAGAUGUGCGACUCAGUGCAGGAUACUUCUCUCCCAUGAAAACAAUGCAGGGGCAAUUGUCUAG
Long non-coding RNA from Orbicella faveolata, 1312 nucleotides. The record is from RefSeq and is a predicted model, not a curated record. NCBI's taxonomy places the organism in Eukaryota, Metazoa, Cnidaria, Anthozoa, Scleractinia, Merulinidae.